AGCCUUAAGUUACACAUUUAAGGUUAAACCUGCCCAGUGUGAAAUUUAUCAACGGCCGCGGUACUUUGACCGUGCUAAGGUAGCGCAAUCAAUUGGCUUCUAAUUAAGGCCAGGUAUGAAUGGAAUCACGGAGUCCAUCUGUCUCUUAACUAAUCUAUCUAAAUUACUAUCUAGGUGAAAAAGCCUAGGAGAAGAAAAAGGACGAGAAGACCCUUAGAGUUUUACUAAAAUUAGCAUAUUUGUUGCUAAAACAGUUUAGUUGGGGCAACAUAGGAACACAUAAACCUCCUGAAAACUAAUCAACCGAUAAUUAUAAAUAUGAAUAAACUACCUUAGGGAUAACAGCAUAAUUUUAUAAAUAAGUUUGUGACCUCGAUGUUGGACUAGGAACCUAAAAGGCUAGCCGCCUUCUAGGAAAGUUCUGUUCGAACUAUGUUCUCCUUCGU
Molecule: ribosomal RNA, 446 nt
Filed under: Atagema spongiosa
Lineage: Eukaryota; Metazoa; Mollusca; Gastropoda; Nudibranchia; Discodorididae
Description: partial large subunit ribosomal RNA
Rfam family: Archaeal large subunit ribosomal RNA
Source: RNAcentral